CCUACGGGAGGCAGCAGUGGGGAAUCUUGCGCAAUGGGCGAAAGCCUGACGCAGCGACGCCGCGUGGGGGAAGAAGGCCUUAGGGUUGUAAACCUCUUUCAGGUGGGACGAAGCCACUCGGGUUAAUAGCCCAGAGGGUGACGGUACCGCCAGAAGAAGCCCCGGCUAACUACGUGCCAGCAGCCGCGGUAAUACGUAGGGGGCAAGCGUUGUCCGGAUUUAUUGGGCGUAAAGAGCGUGUAGGCGGCCAGGUAGGUGGGUUGUGAAAACUGGAGGCUCAACCUUCAGACGUCGACCCAAACCCCCUGGCUAGAGUCCGGAAGAGGAGAGUGGAAUUCCUGGUGUAGCGGUGAAAUGCGCAGAUAUCAGGAAGAACACCCGUGGCGAAGGCGGCUCUCUGGGACGGUACUGACGCUGAGACGCGAAAGCGUGGGGAGCGAACAGGAUUAGAUACCCUGGUAGUCCACGCCGUAAACGAUGGGUGCUAGGUGUGGGGGGUGUCGAUCCCCCGUGCCGAAGCUAACGCAUUAAGCACCCCGCCUGGGGAGUACGGCCGCAAGGCUAAAACUCAAAAUGAAUUGACGGCNGAGACGNGCGACGACGACGACGAGGAGAGG
RNAcentral lists this ribosomal RNA (617 nucleotides) under uncultured bacterium. RNAcentral describes it as "bacterial SSU rRNA". It matches the Rfam family "Bacterial small subunit ribosomal RNA", at positions 338 to 961 of the family's 1533-position model. The record is from RNAcentral.